This 286-nucleotide ribosomal RNA is filed under the name uncultured bacterium. RNAcentral describes it as "partial 16S ribosomal RNA". It matches the Rfam family "Bacterial small subunit ribosomal RNA", at positions 781 to 1058 of the family's 1533-position model. The record is from RNAcentral.
GAUACCCGGGUAGUCCACGCCCUAAACGAUGGAUGCUAGAUGAAGGGAAAUUUUUUCUUUGUCGUAGCUAACGCGUUAAGCAUCCCGCCUGGGGAGUACGGUCGCAAGGCUGAAACUCAAAGAAAUUGGCGGGGGUCCGCACAAGCGGUGGAGCAUGUGGUUUAAUUCGACGAUAAGCGAAGAACCUUACCAGAUCUUGACAUGCUAUCUAAGGUCAGUGCGAAAGCAUUGAUUACAUCGGGCUUGCCCGGUGAAUUUAGUACAGGUGCUGCAUGGCCGCCGUCAG